This 3415-nucleotide long non-coding RNA is filed under the name Mus pahari (shrew mouse). RNAcentral describes it as "lncRNA (MGP_PahariEiJ_G0005496.1)". Lineage: Eukaryota; Metazoa; Chordata; Mammalia; Rodentia; Muridae. The record is from RNAcentral.
GCUCUCUCCUGAGCUGGGUGACCCCGCAGUGGUGCCCCUGACCGGAGAGACAGGAGGGAACGCGGGCCAGCGGGGUCCCAGGCCUCUGGUGCUCAGGGGUCCUGGAGUCACUGUUCGCUUCGGGUUGGAGAGCCCAAGGGACCGCCCCUUAGGGGACCAUGCGCGCUCUGGGAAGCAACCGGCCUAGCUGCUCUCUUUCCAGCAGGCACAUUUCCAACCCAGCCCCCUCCACGCCCUUAGAAGUUGCUGAAAUUCAAACGCAGAGCCCUGUUUCUGCUACGCAAAUGCUCUGCCCCUAAGUUCCACCUCAGCCAGAGAUGCACACAUAUUCUCACGUGAAGAUCUCCAGCAUACUGUUAAGUGGAAAGAAAAGCACACAACACUGGAGAGGAAAUACAUCACACAUUUUGGAAGCUAUUUCUGGGAAUGGAGUCUCAAGGUGACAUGCUGGAGGAGUACCCAUGAGGCCCUGAGGUGUGGCUCAGUGGUGGGAAGCUGCCUCAGCACAUGAAGACUUGUGGUUAAGUCCAAGCACUGAAAAGAAAUUAAUGUACUUAUCUGUAAUUCUGCAGUUCUGUUCAUUUGUUUUAUAAGACAGGGUCUCACAGCUCAGGCUGCCUUUGAAAGCUGGUGUAGCUAAUGCUGUGGCCUCCACUUCCCGGAUACUGGGUGGGAUUACAGCAGUGCGCCAUCAGGCCCAGCAAAACGCUGUAAUUAAAAAGAAAACUGGGGAGGGAUAGUGUGCAGGGUUUGGGCCUAAAACACGGAUCUCCAAUAGAAAUUUUUUUCUAGAUGUUUUUUUCUGUGUAUCCCUGGCUGUCCUAGAACUAGCUCUCUAGACCAGGACAGCCUUGGACUCACAGAGAUCCACCUGCCUCUGCCUCCCAAAUGCAGGGAUUAAAGCGUGCGCCACCACUGCUCAGCAAAUUCUGUGCAACAGCAGAAAGGUCCUAGAGCUGUACUGUCCAAUUGGUAGCCAGUACACACAUGGCUUCUGAGAACUUGGAUCACAGCUAGUAUCUCCAAAGAAUCGAAUUUUAUUCUUUUCUCUAGUUGAGGGUGGGUCACCUUAUGUUACCAAGGCUAUUCUCAAACUCUGGGACUCCAACAAUUCUCCUGCCUAGGCUAUUUUCUCCUUGAAGGGAUGGAACCCAGGCCUUUCACAUACUAAACACACACUCUACCAGUGAGCUGUAUCCCUGCCCAGAUUUACCCCUCCCAACCAGAGUUGGGAAGGAGUUUCCUGUGGAGGGUGAAGCACAGCACACAGAGGUCUCCAGGGAGGGCGAGGCUCCCUCUGCUGAAGGCUGCCUUCUUUCUCAAGUUUCUCUCAGCCUCUGGCUAUUACCCCAGCAUUCCUAAAAGGGAGCUGAGUAGUGUAUCUGAUUUAACUGCUAUGCCUUUAAGAUCCCAGGCAACUCCGGGUGGAAAAACUGGUCAGAGUCAGGAGUGAGGGGUUAGCCUCAUUAGAAAAGGCUGAUUCCCAGGAAGGAUGGCAGAGGAAGGGCACCAGAGAGGAAACGCAGGCUACAGAGCACAAAGCCGUUUCCAAGUGCAGGAUCUGCUCAGGGCAGAACCUUUGGUUAGUACCCCGGACAGGCAGGAGGUGGCCAGGAGCUACCGCUACCGUAGCACCUCCAGCUUCCAGUCUGUGUAUGUCAGCGAGUCUUCUGCUGCGGCUGAACAGUGAUACUCGACGGCCCUUUCACUGAGCACAUUUUCUGGGAACACCCACCGCGCGCCAGAUACCCCGCCCUCAGCUUGAAGAAAGCAGACGACAUCUCUAACUCCCUGAAAAUCUCCAGUAAAAUCAAAUAAUACAUGAUUAUGGGCUGGGGUAAACAUUUUAAAUGGGUGAGGGGAAGAGAGAACAGGGCUAGGAGUGAAACUCAAUAGUGGUAGAAAAUAUGCUUAGCACAAGCAAGGGCCGUGUGCUAAUAAUAGAUGGAGCAUAAUUUCCAUUAGGAAAGUGUGAGAGAAGACUCUAGAAGCACACUCCUCUCUUCCCCCCACAAAGACCCAAAUACCAAAUGACAGCCAGGUGAAGGGAAGUUGUACCCAAGAGCAUUCCAGGAGAAGGACUGGUGACCGCUGAUGGGGACAUGGACCCUGAAAUGGGACCUUGACCUUUGGGAAAGAAUGUAGCAUUAGUGGGGCAUGGUGACUGAGAGUGAGGAAGGCCACAACACCCACAUACUGCCAGGCUUCCUGAGUCUCUCCCUAGGGGAGGACUGAGCUGACUGGUCUUGGGUCCUGGGUGAGGCAGGGACUAAGGAAUCAGCAGACAGUGGCUUCGUGUGGUCCACAGGCCAAAGGGUGCUUUUAACGUUUUUCAAGGAUGCCUGAAAAAUAAAACAAAAAAAAAAAAAUAUCCCGCAUGAAAUUAAAAUUUUAGUGUUCAAAAAUAAGGUGAGCCUUGCCCACUUACACACUAAGUGUCUCUUGUCAUUUUCUCACUACAUUGGCCAAAGGUGGAGCAGAGACUGUGUGGUCUUCAGAGCCUAAAAUAUUAACUACUUGGCUCUUUUGACAAUAAAACUAAGUGACCUGAGGAUUAGAGAGAGACUAAAAGUAGGAAGCCCAAACAGGAGGUUGCAACAGACACCAGGAUGAGAUGACGGUAGCCUCCUCCAUCUCGAUGGGAGUGGAGCUGAGAUGUAGAUGGGCUGAAGAAGCAAUUUAAGGAGAGAGCUUCCAGAACUUCCUAAUGGCAUGUGGGAGACCGAGGCAGGGGGAUCAUCUGAGUUGGUGGCCAGUCUGUGCUAUACAGAGUGAGACCCUGUCACACACACACACAAAAAAAAAGCAAACAAAGCUAGCAGUGGUGACUCGUGCCUGCACUACCAACAUUUGUGAGGCAGAAACAGGAAACCUUUCCAUACAAGUUUGAGGCUAGCCAUUUCUACAUAGCAACGAGAUCCUAUCUGACUGGGGAAGGUGCCAGAGAGAGGGAAGGAGACAGAGAGAGGUAAGAGGAAAAGAAGAAAAGGGGAAGAAGAACUGAGGAUGGAUUGAGGUGAUGUGAUACAUUUCAAAAUGACCCAGAACUUGUGGUCCUGGAGUAGGACCUUCGUAACACUUGGGGACAUGUGAUAAGGUUUGUGGCUUAGCUAGUAGUGUUUUAGUGUUAACUUCUGCAUCCUUGACCACACAGUGAUUUUGAGGCCAGCAUGGGCUACAAUGAGACCCUGUACCAAAUCUAUAACCACAGUGGGCUGGUAAGCUGAAAAGAUGUCUCGUGGUUAGAAGCUCUUUACAGCUCACAAAGAAUGGGAGUUUGGCUUCCAGCGACUCUGUUGGGCAGCUUUUCUGUAGCUUCAGCUCCGGGGAUCUGAUGCCCUCAUCUGGACUCUGAGGUCACUUUAUUCACACGUACAUACCCACAUGUGUAUUUUAAAAAUAAUAAAAUAAAUCU